UAGGGAAUUUUCGUCAAUGGGGGAGCCCUGAACGAGCAAUGCCGCGUGUGUGAAGAAGGUCUUCGGAUCGUAAAGCACUGUUGUAAGUGAAGAAUGCCACAUAGAGGAAAUGCUAUGUGGGUGACGGUAGCUUACCAGAAAGCCACGGCUAACUACGUGCCAGCAGCCGCGGUAAUACGUAGGUGGCAAGCGUUAUCCGGAAUCAUUGGGCGUAAAGGGUGCGUAGGUGGCACGAUAAGUCUGAAGUAAAAGGCAACAGCUCAACUGUUGUAUGCUUUGGAAACUGUCGAGCUAGAGUGCAGAAGAGGGCGAUGGAAUUCCAUGUGUAGCGGUAAAAUGCGUAGAUAUAUGGAGGAACACCAGUGGCGAAGGCGGUCGCCUGGUCUGUAACUGACACUGAUGCACGAAAGCGUGGGUAGCAAACAGGGAUUAGAUACC
This 438-nucleotide ribosomal RNA is filed under the name uncultured bacterium. RNAcentral describes it as "bacterial SSU rRNA". It matches the Rfam family "Bacterial small subunit ribosomal RNA", at positions 355 to 786 of the family's 1533-position model. The record is from RNAcentral.